Molecule: transfer RNA, 60 nt
Filed under: Idotea baltica
Lineage: Eukaryota; Metazoa; Arthropoda; Malacostraca; Isopoda; Idoteidae
Description: tRNA-Ser
Source: RNAcentral
AGUUGUUUAGCUAUAAAAGUGGAUGUUUUGAAAGCAUUUUUAAUGGAUUUCCUACACUUA